GCUUAGGCUAUCGCUCUGAGGGGCUCCUUUCAUCCGCAUCCUCCACAUGGAGCUGCUUUAGCAGAAUUAGAAACAAAGAAAUGCACAAGAAGUCGUUUGAAAAUAAUAAAGACAAACUAAGAAACACUAGGAUUUUUUUUUCCCCCACGCAGCAAAGAGAGGUGGAAUUGUGGGCUAAAAUUGACCACGGUUGUUCUCUGAGAUUUUUAGAAAUCAGAGAUCUUCCAGAGAAAGCCAGCCCGCCCGUGGAAGCAGAGCACCGGCCAGAGCAUCCCGCUCUUCCAACCUUCCUACAAUUCCUGGCGCCGCGCGCUCUCAGGAGCAUUAGCCCCGGGCCUGUGUCUCGCGCACGAGCCGGGUCGACACACGCCCGAAAGUGGGCGGUCCCGGCGGGGGUCGGCCCGGCCCCAACCACAGAGCGGCGGUGCCUCCGGCGUCCUAGAGCGGCCGCGGGCAGCCGGCGCUGGGCCGGGGUCCUGGGGCUAGUCUCGCGGGUCCUGAGCUCCGCCGCCUGCUUCCGGUCCUGGAAGAUGCCGGCGGUCUUUCGCUCGGGGACGCUGGCCCCGAGUCCUCUCGUCAGGUGGCGACGCCCAGGCGGGGCGGCUCCCUCUGAGGAGUCGGGUUCCGCCUGUUAGGCCCCCGCGGCCUCCGCCUCGAGCCUCCUCCAGCCGCGGAGACGAGCUUGUCUGCGGCGGGCCGGCGGGCGGAGGGCGCGCCUGUGGGCGCCGCGUGGGUAACGAGGCCCCGCGCCCAGGAGGGCCGGCUCCCGGGCCGGGCGCGCUCCGUCUCGUGUCGCCUGACUUCGGGCGGCCUGUAAAUGCUUGGAGAUUGCGUGCUGUGCGGCAAUCAACACUGCAAGGCGCCUGCAAUGCUGCGAGUCCUCCAGCCCAGAGGCCAGCCAAGAGUUCCAGAACCAUUUGAGACUUCCAGGAUGGAGGCUGGCUCACCUCAUCCCACCAUCUACUUUCCUGCCUGACUGGAUGUUGUGUAUAUAUC
This is a long non-coding RNA of Bos taurus (domestic cattle), 996 nucleotides long. Lineage: Eukaryota; Metazoa; Chordata; Mammalia; Artiodactyla; Bovidae. The record is from Ensembl.